This 29-nucleotide non-coding RNA is filed under the name Rattus norvegicus (Norway rat). Lineage: Eukaryota; Metazoa; Chordata; Mammalia; Rodentia; Muridae. The record is from RNAcentral.
UCUGAUCCUAUUACCUUAGGUGCUCCAAA